AGCAUUAUCGAACCGGAAAUACCAUCAUCUGUACCAACAUAUGUUGGUAGAUGUACGUUGAUAUCGGUUGACCUUGAGAGAGUUAAUAUAGCGGGAAAGAUAGAUAAACACUGGAUUUCAGGCAUAAAAAAAGACCUCAGUUGAGGUCUAUUUACAUACUUUUGGUGCCGAAGGCCGGACUCGAACCGGCACGUAUUUCUACGGUUGAUUUUGAAUCAACUGCGUCUACCGAUUUCGCCACUUCGGCACUGAAGAGGUAUGCGGAAAACGUUGUGGAUUAUACCUGUCGCACGCCACCAUGCAAGCGCCAGCUUCG
RNAcentral lists this transfer RNA (316 nucleotides) under Escherichia coli. RNAcentral describes it as "transfer RNA-Leu". The record is from RNAcentral. Lineage: Bacteria; Pseudomonadati; Pseudomonadota; Gammaproteobacteria; Enterobacterales; Enterobacteriaceae.